RNAcentral lists this long non-coding RNA (782 nucleotides) under Coturnix japonica (Japanese quail). RNAcentral describes it as "lncRNA (ENSCJPG00005002844.1)". The record is from RNAcentral. Lineage: Eukaryota; Metazoa; Chordata; Aves; Galliformes; Phasianidae.
AUGGGGGUCCCCAAGGUGGACAUGGGGGUCCCACUGGUGACUAUGGGGGUCCCAUUGGUGGUCCUGACCCCAUUGGUGGCACUGGGGGUCCCUUUGGUGGCCAUGGGGGUCCCAUUAAUGACUAUGAUGGUCCCAUUGGUGGAGAUGGGGGUCCCAUUGGUGGUCCUGGGGGUCCUAUUGGUGGCCCUGGGGGUCCCCAAGGUGGCCAUGGGGGUCCCAUUGGUGACUAUGGGGGUCCCAUUGGUGGUCCUGUCCCCAUUGGUGGCCCUGGGGGUCCCCAAGGUGGCCCUGGGGGUCCCCAAGGUGGACAUGGGGGUCCCAUUGGUGACUAUGGGGGUCCCAUUGGUGGUCCCAUUCCCAAGGUGGCCAUGGGGAUCCUAUUGGUUGUCCUGGGGGUCCCCAUUUAGUGGCUCUGGGGGUCCCAUAGGUGGUCCCAUCCCAUUAGUGGCCCUGGGGGGUUUCAUUGGUGGCACAGGGGGUCCUCAAGGUGGUCCUGUCCCCAUUGGGGUCCCAUUUAGUGGCAUUGGGGACCCUUUGGCGUCCCUAUGGUGUCCCUAUAGUGGCCAUAGGGUCCCAUUAGGUGGCACUGGGGACCCUUUAUUGUUCCUAUGGUGUCCCUGUAUUGGCCAUUGGGUCCCAUUAGGUGGCAUUGGGGUCCCUAUGGUGUCCCUAUAGUGGCCAUAGGGUCCCUAUAGUGGCCUUAGGGUCCCAUUAGGUGGCAUUAGGGUCCCUAUAGUGUCCCUAUGGUGUCCCUAUGGCGUCCCUAUAGUGGCCAUAGGGUC